Long non-coding RNA from Gallus gallus (chicken), 3388 nucleotides. Lineage: Eukaryota; Metazoa; Chordata; Aves; Galliformes; Phasianidae. The record is from Ensembl.
UGGGAGUCACGUCGGUAGCGCGUUGCGUAAGGCGUGUGUUGGGGGGCGGAUUGGCUGCUCCUCUUUUAUGGCCCUUGCCCUAAUUAUCCCUGCUAAUUAAUCUCCUUGAUGAACAGGAGCCUGGGGUGAAGGCACUCCUGACAUCGUGGCGUGGUGUAAGGAGGAGAGCAAAGCAAAAUUUGGGGAAUCCUUUCCACUAUUAGAGGGAAUUUCUCCAAGCUGUAGUGCUGAUGGCUGCAGCAGAGAGCCCGGAGCUGAGCAGAAAAUGCGAACGGGUCAUUGCAUCAACAGCUGGAAAAAGGCAGUGGCUGUGAACAUGUAAGCCAGCUUUGCAAACUUCUCAGCAGCUCAUUUUCUUCCCCGCUCCUUUUUUUUACCCCUCUGCACACUGUCCAUGAGACGAUGCAGUUGUUAUUCCGACCUGUGCACAAGAAGCUCACUUCUACCUGGUCAGGCUUCAUGCUCUGCCGUGCCGGCGUCUGCUACCCUGGGUGCAAUUGCUCUUAACGGUGUCUGGUUCUCAUUUUGAUGCUUGGCAAACUUAGCGUGCUCCUGACAUUUGCAAACAGUAGAGUGCUUUCCUGAGCUUCCCUGCAGGGUCUGUCCUGGGUCUGCAUGUACGCAGGGUGCAGAGUUGUGGUAAUCUAUGGUCACUCAGCCAGGAGCACACGCUGCUUUCUGAGCUGCCGGCACUGCUAUUUGCCUGCUGCUGGCAUCCCUGCUUCUUCCAGCUUUGGGCUGUGAUGUGAUGUGUGACUGCGGCACAGAAAGGCUUUUUGCAUUCUCAGACUGUUUGGUGUUUUUACACUGGUUUUUACCCUUUACUAUUGUCUGCCUCAACACAGCAUUAGUAAAUGAUGCUGCAAUUGCUGUGCCACCUAGAUUAGGUUUCCUGCUAGGAGCUCGGUGCUUGCCAGAGGAGAAAGGGAGCCUCGUGUCCCUGCUAUGUCGGGUGCAGGAAAUGAAGUACAGAAAGAAGUGAUUUAGUGGUGAUCACAGGGCAGGGCGUGGAUGGAAAUAGGGAUGCCCUGAUUCACUGAGCUCCUCUCUACUGCUGAAGCAUGCUGCUGGAUCCCACAACCCCGCAGUGAACCCUGGAGGAUUACAUGGAGCUUUGUCACUAAUCUCUCUGUCUGGGCUCCACGGAUCUCCUUGAGCCGUCUUUCUGUGGGCCCAAACAUGUACAUGUAAGCAGAUCCUGCUUUCAGACAAACCCCACACGGUUCCUCUCCUGCAGUUCCCAAGCAGUUUUGGGACCAAGGCCACUUUGCAGGGAGCAAAACUUCCAGCAUCCUGGCUCCUACCACACCUGCAGCCCCUGCUCCGGGCUGUGUUUGCCCUCUGCCUGUGAUGGGAAGAGCAGGGCAUCGAUUGCAGCAUGCAGGUGAAAAUGGAUUGCGACCUGCUGCCUGCCGCACUAACACAGCUGAUUAGCACCGGUGCGUGUCUCUGCCAGGAUGGAUCUUGCAGGUGAGAACGUUCCGAGAGCAGCUGAGGCCCUGCAGUCACCAUCCGCUCGCCGCUGGCUCGGUCUGCUCACUGCUUUGCAGCCAGGACACCGGCAGUGCUUCUUCUCCACUUUUCCUAUUCCUGGAGCCUCCUUGUCAGCCGUGUGCGCCCUCACGCUGGCUGCCCACAGUGCUGGCACUUGCAGGCUGUUAUUGCAAAAGCUCAGCUCUGCAGAGCCAGGCUGGCAGUCCCAAGAAGACGUCUGGUCCUGAGCGGGGUCACCCAUCCCUGCAUGGCUCUGCGGGGUCCGGCGGCAUCAUCCCAUCAUCCGCUUCAUAACCGUUGCUAAUUGGAAAAUGAAACCAUAAGAAGAAAAUCUGCUUCAAGUUAUUGCAUGGGCUUUUGUCCCCCACCGAGGAGGCACAAAUCAAGGAAUCAGAAUGUUUAACAAAACAAACAGAGAUUUCUUUGGUAUUGUGGGAGAUUUAUAGGCUGCGGCAUCCAGAGAAGCCUCCUCCCGCUCCGUCCUUCUGCUUGAAUUCCUGCUGGUCACUGACUUAUUACUUUUCUUACUGCUUCCCCUGCUUUAAAAGUGGGGAAAGCACAAUCAAAUUAUCAUAAUACUCAUUUGGUUAAUUGCCCAUUUAGUUACUUAUUGAGUUCAUUAAAAAGACAGUGUCAGUUAGGAGGAAAUGCAGAGAGGUGGGCAGUGAGGGGACAGGAUGUGGGCUGAAAUAGGCCAUUACUCCGGCCCCGAGAAUGGCAGUUUGUGUCCCUUCUUUAUUGCUGCAUCACUUCUGUGCAUGAUUUGUUCUGGAUAAAAAAAAAAAAAAACCCAAACCAACCCAACAAGCACAAAGCAAAAGGAGAAAGCCUGCUGCCGCAGAUCUCCAUUGCGCGUUAGAAUCCAUUUAGCAUCAAUCCAAAGCUCUGCAGAAGCCCAAACCACCUAUUUUAGGAUCCUUUUUUCAGCUGAGAAAAAUGUGCUGCUCCACAGGUCAGGAGCUGCCUGCAAUUAUGACCCCGAAUAGAUAGAAACGUUGCUUCUUGAGACAAAUUCCAUCUGACAGUUUUUACAGUACGUUCGUUCAGAGCAAAAUGCCCUGUCCCCUGUCACCCGGAUUGAAAUUAUUAAGGAAGACAGACAUUUCACUGACAACUCUAGCCUGCGGGGGGAAAAUAUUCCUUCUGUUCCCCUCUGAAGGUCAGAGCUCACAUAAUGCAGAACACUUAGAGCACGCGCACACACGCUCACACACACACGGAAUAGAAGUUUCUCUGCAGCGGGGCUGUGGAUGGAUGCUGGGGCAAGCAGGUGCCUGCUGCACGCGUGUUGGAGGACUGGGGACAAAGAGGCUGAGGUUGUGUGUCUGCAGCUGGAAGUUUUCCUUGUCUGGUCCAUGGGUAACGCAUGGAGAGUGCGCUCACUCUGUAGGUGCGCCCUUCUGGCAGGCUGAAGGGUCCACGUGUGCCAUGGGUGCUGCCUUCCAUCCCUGCUCAGGUGCCUUUCUGUGCUGGGGGAGAGGCCCAGCCCGGCCCCUUUGUGCCCCCCAGCCCCACUCCUCCUGGCUGCACAUUGGCUGUCACUCACCGUGCCCCGGUGUGGGUCCUCGGGCUCACUCAAUCUAGGGCUGAAAAUUGGUCUUGAGUCAAGGUGGCCGGAGGUGAGAAAUCAGCCUGCAGCUCAUUAACCUUUCCUCAGCUCUGCCGGCACUUCGGUCCCUGCUGGCUGUGUGUGUGGUAUGGGGACAUCUGCACCAGGUGCUGUCCCUCCCUGCCUUCCCAGCCCGUACUGCAAACAAAUCCCAAAUCAGCGUCCAACCAGCAUCAGCACCAAAGCUGGAUGCAGAGCUCAGGAGCCUUUUACUCCACACUUACUCAUGGAUAAAGGGUGGAAAACCAAUUCCUGAUCCACGCCGCUCCAGCUGUGCCAUCCUCC